GCGGUCGUGGCGGAAUUGGUAGACGCGCUGGAUUUAGGUUCCAGUGCCGCAAGGUGUGAGAGUUCGAGUCUCUCCGACCGCACCA
RNAcentral lists this transfer RNA (85 nucleotides) under Cellvibrionaceae bacterium. RNAcentral's name for it is "tRNA-Leu". It matches the Rfam family "tRNA". Rfam says of the family: Transfer RNA (tRNA) molecules are approximately 80 nucleotides in length. Their secondary structure includes four short double-helical elements and three loops (D, anti-codon, and T loops). Further hydrogen bonds mediate the characteristic L-shaped molecular structure. tRNAs have two regions of fundamental functional importance: the anti-codon, which is responsible for specific mRNA codon recognition, and the 3' end, to which the tRNAs corresponding amino acid is attached (by aminoacyl-tRNA synthetases). tRNAs cope with the degeneracy of the genetic code in two manners: having more than one tRNA (with a specific anti-codon) for a particular amino acid; and 'wobble' base-pairing, i.e. permitting non-standard base-pairing at the 3rd anti-codon position. Lineage: Bacteria; Pseudomonadati; Pseudomonadota; Gammaproteobacteria; Cellvibrionales; Cellvibrionaceae. The record is from RNAcentral.